UACGUAGGGGGCAAGCGUUGUCCGGAUUUAUUGGGCGUAAAGAGCGUGUAGGCGGCCAGGUAGGUCUGCUGUGAAAACUCGAGGCUUAACCUCGAGAUGUCGGUGGAAACCAUCUGGCUAGAGUCCGGAAGAGGAGAGUGGAAUUCCUGGUGUAGCGGUGAAAUGCGCAGAUAUCAGGAAGAACACCCGUGGCGAAGGCGGCUCUCUGGGACGGUACUGACGCUGAGACGCGAAAGCGUGGGGAGCGAACAGG
Molecule: ribosomal RNA, 253 nt
Filed under: uncultured bacterium
Lineage: Bacteria
Description: partial 16S ribosomal RNA
Rfam family: Bacterial small subunit ribosomal RNA
Source: RNAcentral